UGAUUUCCUUCAGCCACAUGAAAUGGAGGCAUAUAUAUGAGGUCUUAUCCCCAACUUGGCACAAUUACGUGAUAUGCCAGAAGCCUUUGUUCAAAUGUAUUGUCGUAUUGUUGCACACAAAUUUUUCUUCUUUUGUGAUCCUCAUAGGCGAGGAAAAGCUUGCAUCAAGAAAGUGUUGCUUAGUAAUUGUCUCCAAGAACUAAUGGAGCUUCACCAGGAAAGUGAAAAAGUCACAAACACAUAACAAGCUGAAAACUGGUUCUCUUCGACUUCUGCUCAACGUAUUUGUGGUGCUUUAUUGAA
Non-coding RNA from Arachis ipaensis, 303 nucleotides. The record is from RefSeq and is a predicted model, not a curated record. Lineage: Eukaryota; Viridiplantae; Streptophyta; Magnoliopsida; Fabales; Fabaceae.